Molecule: RNA transcript, 2425 nt
Organism: Rosa rugosa (rugosa rose)
Lineage: Eukaryota; Viridiplantae; Streptophyta; Magnoliopsida; Rosales; Rosaceae
Gene name: sugar transporter ERD6-like 5
Exons: 22
Source: RefSeq, a predicted model, not a curated record
GUAUACACCAAGACAAAACCACCAUCAUUGUUUUGUUUUGUAUUCAUCACUUAUCCAACUUGAUCCACAGUUUCAGAUCAGUUCUUGAUCUCUCAACAAGUAUCCAAACAUGGGCAGCAGAGAAAACAUAGAAGCAGGAGAGUUAGCAAGUCCUCUGCUUGACGUCGCCGGCGGCCGGAACAGCGGUGGUGAUGACGUUGGUGGAAGUAGUAGAAGUGGAACUGGAAGUGGAAGUGGAAGUGAAAAUUCUUCAGCCACAAGUAUGGUUGUACUCAGCACCUUGGUUGCUGUGUCUGGUUCCUAUGUUUUUGGCUCUGCGGUGGGAUAUUCCUCACCUGCUCGGUCAGGAAUCAUGGAUGAUUUGGGCCUCUCUGUUGCUGAGUACUCGGUUUUCGGUUCAAUAUUGACAAUUGGAGCAAUGAUAGGUGCAGUAGUGAGUGGGAAAAUGGCAGAUUACAUAGGUAGAAGAGGUACUAUGGGAUUUUCACAGAUAUUCUGCAUAUUUGGAUGGCUAGCCAUAGCUCUCUCUAAGGUUGCUUGGUGGGCUGAUCUUGGAAGACUAUUGGUAGGAUGUGGAAUGGGGCUACUUUCUUAUGUGGUGCCUAUAUACAUAGCAGAAAUAACACCAAAGAAUCUGCGGGGAGGAUUUACGACAGUUCAUCAGUUGAUGAUAUGUUGUGGUGUUUCACUAACAUAUCUUCUUGGGGCUUUUGUGAACUGGCGAGCUUUGGCACUGAUUGGAACUAUUCCUUGUGUUGUACAGAUUUUAGGUCUCUUCUUCAUUCCAGAGUCUCCUAGAUGGCUGGCAAAAAUAGGUAAAGAGAAAGAGGGGGAAGCAGCUCUUCAGUACCUUAGGGGGGAGAAUGCUGAUACUUCUGGAGAAGCAGCUGAGAUUAGAGAUUAUACAAAAACUCUGAAGCUUCUCUCAGAAGCAAGCAUUCUUGACUUAUUUCAGUGGAGAUAUGCUCAUUCCCUCCUUGUCGGAGUUGGCCUGAUGGUACUUCAACAAUUUGGAGGGGUUAAUGGCAUUGCCUUCUAUGCAAGUACCAUAUUCAUUUCAGCUGGGUUCUCUGAUAGUAUAGGGACUAUAGCUAUGGUUGCUGUUCAGAUUCCGAUGACAGCUUUGGGUGUAGUUUUAAUGGACAAAUCUGGAAGACGUCCACUUCUUCUGGUAUCUUCAGCAGGAACAUGCUUAGGUUGCCUCUUUGUGGGAUUGUCAUUCUUGUUGAAGGACCUUCAAGGAUGGAGUCAGGUCACUCCCAUAUUCGCUCUUGUUGGCGUACUGGUAUAUACAGGAUCAUUCUCAUUAGGCAUGGGAGGAAUUCCUUGGGUUAUAAUGUCGGAGAUAUUUCCUAUAAACAUGAAAGGCUCGGCUGGAAGCCUGGUGACAUUGGUUAGCUGGUUAGGUUCUUGGAUUGUGUCAUAUGCAUUUAAUUUCCUAAUGGAUUGGAAUUCAGCAGGGACAUUCUUCAUGUUUUCAAGCAUAUGUGGAGUAACUGUUUUAUUUGUUGCAAAGCUUGUACCGGAGACAAAGGGGCGAACACUUGAAGAAAUACAAGCCUCUAUGAAUCCGUUUUCUGUAAAACGAUAAAUGAUGAAAAAGACGCCAAAGAGAGAAGAUGAAUUGACCUCGACCUCUGACCUCGAAGUGACCUCAACCAGACUUGGGGGAAAUUAUCACUUGGUUUUGGCUAAUUUGAUCAGGUAAACAGAGCUCAACCUGGCUCUCAUGAGAAGCUCAAAAGCAGGGACUUAAUGAAACUGCUCGAAGGAAACAUGCAUGUGGACUACAGCAUAACCAAAAUAGGGGAUCAGCUUCUGUUUGGAGAAGAGCUCAAAAGUAUUGAUGAAUGUUAGGCCUUAGGGACAACAUCUAGCGGAUGACUGGGAGUGCUUCAAGAUGUUUAGUCGCUGUGGGAAGCUAUCGACAUAUGCAGAAUGAAAUACACGCAAGCUUUUGCAACCUAGAGAAAAUGGUUGCAGUGUCUAAUCAAGCUUGUUCUAAGAAACCCCAUGUCUAAUCUGAAAAUGGAUGUACUAAAUAAAGUCAAGCAUGUAUGUUGGUUACUUCUUUGGGUUACUACAAUGAAAAUUAAAAAUUAUAAGUUGAUAAAGAUCAAAUAUUUUAAAAAUGUGAUAUUUGUUGUCGAUUUGCAAAUCUUGCUAGUAUAUAGACAGAUGGCCAAUUAUCUGCCUUGGUCAGAGUCCAUUCCAGAAGAUAUCCUUAUAAGAGUGGCUCUAGGUGUUGUGUAUGAUUACUAAUCUGCCAAGCUUGCUGAUAUUGAAUGCAAUGAUGGAAUGGAUGCAAGUUCUUUAGAAGUUGAGGACAGGGAUCAUGUGGAAAUGGUGCUUAAGUACAUCGAGGAGGAUGGAGAUCUCCGUCGUUGGAGCCUACCGGAUAUUAAACGCCGUAAUUAUUGGACUU